CCUGGAAAUUCCCCUUUGCACAGGAAGUGGAAAUCUCUGUUGUGAAAGCUCUGCAUUUCCUCCGGUAUCAUGAAACAUGGACCAUGCCAGGCAAGUUCCAUUCACUAUAGCAUGCUAGCAAUUUGAACUACACCUUGUGGGGGGAAGAGGAGGCAGCAGGAGAACGAGGGGCAUUGUAGCACUGCAAGGUCAAGCAGGAUGGCAUUGAUGAGGAUUGUUACCUUACUUUCUGAAAGUACAAGCCCAGAGCAAUGAAACAAACACAAGUGCCUGCUACUUGCAGAGCUAAGGGCUGGAGCAGAUACAAAGUUUGGAUGGGACAUGCUCCCUACCCUCAUAGAAUUUACUGUCUAGUACUACUCAGAAAGAACUCUAAUAUACAAUGUUACACAAUUAGGAGAGUCAGCACAAUUGAGGGGAUAAGGAACUGACUUUGGAGUUAAGAAGACCUGAAUUCAAGUCCUGCAAGCUAAGGCCACUCUCUAAGAUGCUAAUUUUCAAAGGAGGGGCUAGUUCUGCACUGGAAAAAGAAGUUUCUCACUGGAAGUUAUCCUAUACUAAGGGAACCACAGGUACAUGUGCAGGUGGAGAGGCAGAUAACCAGAUGCUUAAGAGGAGCUGCUAAAUGGGCUGGUUCUCCCAAGAAAGAAGGAAUUCAGAAGAGCAUUCAAAGGACCUGGAACUGCUGUGUAUUGAUUAGAUAGCACUGAGCCUCUUUCAGAACUUUGAUGAUUAAUUCAGGCUAUAAAAAUCUAUAUGAGAAGCCUGAGUCUGCUUGGAAGAAGCUGUAGAAGAUGACCUAUAUGUCACCCUGAGCUCCUGAAUGGCUAGGAUAUGGGUGACUUUUGGAAAUAAAGUACCAGGUCUAAAGUCAGCUUUUGGGGGCAGUAAGUAUUCCCCCUUCCCCAACAACUUGAUUACCUAUUCCCCUUUUGAAUGAUCAAAUGAUUUUUGGCUGAAGUGAAUUGCUUCAGGAGAUGUGAUCGAUAAAAUGAAAUAAUUGCUUCCCAUGUGGAGUGGUUAUUUGUACCUCCAGUCUGAAAAUUGCAAGAAAGAGGCUGUUUUUUCCUCUCUGAUUCAUGCUCUGUUGCUGUGUCUGGCAGUAUCAAAACCGAGCUUUGCCUUCCACCGUGAAAGCCAGGCCAGAGAUCAAAGCACAGGACGUGAGCUAGCUCUGAAUUAAGCUCCUGGCUUCAUUUGGUAGGGCUCAGAGUACUUGGUAGGGAAUGUUGUCCCAUCAUUGUGGAGAAAACACACACACACACACACACACACACACACACACACACACACACACACAC
Non-coding RNA from Phascolarctos cinereus (koala), 1301 nucleotides. The record is from RefSeq and is a predicted model, not a curated record. NCBI's taxonomy places the organism in Eukaryota, Metazoa, Chordata, Mammalia, Diprotodontia, Phascolarctidae.